AUACGGAGGGUGCAAGCGUUAAUCGGAAUUACUGGGCGUAAAGCGCGCGUAGGCGGUCUAUUAAGUCAGAUGUGAAAUCCCAGGGCUCAACCUUGGAACUGCAUCUGAUACUGGUAGACUAGAGUUUUGGAGAGGGAAGUAGAAUUUCAGGUGUAGCGGUGAAAUGCAUAGAGAUCUGAAGGAAUACCAGUGGCGAAGGCGACUUCCUGGCCAAAAACUGACGCUGAGGUGCGAAAGCGUGGGUAGCAAACGGGAUUAGAAACCCCAGUAGUCC
Molecule: ribosomal RNA, 274 nt
Filed under: uncultured bacterium
Lineage: Bacteria
Description: partial 16S ribosomal RNA
Rfam family: Bacterial small subunit ribosomal RNA
Source: RNAcentral